RNAcentral lists this ribosomal RNA (818 nucleotides) under Trichoderma sp. 16 BRO-2013. RNAcentral's name for it is "eukaryotic LSU rRNA". The stretch from base 285 to 438 matches the Rfam family "5.8S ribosomal RNA". Lineage: Eukaryota; Fungi; Ascomycota; Sordariomycetes; Hypocreales; Hypocreaceae. The record is from RNAcentral.
AACUACCACUCAGGGCCGGAAAGCUCUCCAAACUCGGUCAUUUAGAGGAAGUAAAAGUCGUAACAAGGUCUCCGUUGGUGAACCAGCGGAGGGAUCAUUACCGAGUUUACAACUCCCAAACCCAAUGUGAACCAUACCAAACUGUUGCCUCGGCGGGGUCACGCCCCGGGUGCGUCGCAGCCCCGGAACCAGGCGCCCGCCGGAGGGACCAACCAAACUCUUUCUGUAGUCCCCUCGCGGACGUUAUUUCUUACAGCUCUGAGCAAAAAUUCAAAAUGAAUCAAAACUUUCAACAACGGAUCUCUUGGUUCUGGCAUCGAUGAAGAACGCAGCGAAAUGCGAUAAGUAAUGUGAAUUGCAGAAUUCAGUGAAUCAUCGAAUCUUUGAACGCACAUUGCGCCCGCCAGUAUUCUGGCGGGCAUGCCUGUCCGAGCGUCAUUUCAACCCUCGAACCCCUCCGGGGGGUCGGCGUUGGGGAUCGGGAACCCCUAAGACGGGAUCCCGGCCCCGAAAUACAGUGGCGGUCUCGCCGCAGCCUCUCAUGCGCAGUAGUUUGCACAACUCGCACCGGGAGCGCGGCGCGUCCACGUCCGUAAAACACCCAACUUCUGAAAUGUUGACCUCGGAUCAGGUAGGAAUACCCGCUGAACUUAAGCAUAUCAAUAAGCGGAGGAAAAGAAACCAACAGGGAUUGCCCCAGUAACGGCGAGUGAAGCGGCAACAGCUCAAAUUUGAAAUCUGGCCCCUAGGGUCCGAGUUGUAAUUUGUAGAGGAUGCUUUUGGUGAGGUGCCGCCCGAGUUCCCUGGAACGGGACGCC